UCCAGAGGGUGCAAUCGUUAAUCGGAGUUACUGGGCGUAAAGGGCGCGUAGGCGGUUUAAUGAGUGUGAUGUGAAAGCCCUGGGCUUAACCUAGGAAGUGCAUCGCAAACGAUUGAGCUGGAGUAUAAGAGAGGGUGGCGGAAUUUCCGGUGUAGCGGUGAAAUGCGUAGAGAUCGGAAGGAACGUCAAUGGCGAAGGCAGCCACCUGGCUUAAUACUGACGCUGAGGCGCGAAAGCGUGGGGAUAAAACAGG
This 253-nucleotide ribosomal RNA is filed under the name uncultured bacterium. RNAcentral's name for it is "partial 16S ribosomal RNA". It matches the Rfam family "Bacterial small subunit ribosomal RNA", at positions 524 to 776 of the family's 1533-position model. The record is from RNAcentral.